AACGACGCUGGCGGCAUGCCUAACACAUGCAAGUCGAACGAUGCCUUCGGGCAUAGUGGCGCACGGGUGCGUAACGCGUGGGAAUCUGCCCUUGGGUUCGGAAUAACUCAGAGAAAUUUGAGCUAAUACCGGAUGAUGACGUAAGUCCAAAGAUUUAUCGCCCAAGGAUGAGCCCGCGUAAGAUUAGCUAGUUGGUGGGGUAAAGGCCUACCAAGGCGACGAUCUUUAGCUGGUCUGAGAGGAUGAUCAGCCACACUGGGACUGAGACACGGCCCAGACUCCUACGGGAGGCAGCAGUGGGGAAUAUUGGACAAUGGGCGAAAGCCUGAUCCAGCAAUGCCGCGUGAGUGAUGAAGGCCUUAGGGUUGUAAAGCUCUUUUACCAGGGAUGAUAAUGACAGUACCUGGAGAAUAAGCUCCGGCUAACUCCGUG
RNAcentral lists this ribosomal RNA (432 nucleotides) under uncultured bacterium. Its description in RNAcentral is "bacterial SSU rRNA". It matches the Rfam family "Bacterial small subunit ribosomal RNA", at positions 32 to 507 of the family's 1533-position model. The record is from RNAcentral.